AUUUGAAAUCUGGCUCUUUCAGAGUCCGAGUUGUAAUUUGUAGAGGAUGCUUCGGCUUACGUUUCGGUCUAAGUUCCUUGGAACAGGACGUCACAGAGGGUGAGAAUCCCGUUUGUGGCCGAGACUUCCGCCAUGUGAAGCUCCUUCGACGAGUCGAGUUGUUUGGGAAUGCAGCUCUAAAUGGGAGGUAAAUUUCUUCUAAAGCUAAAUACCGGCCAGAGACCGAUAGCGCACAAGUAGAGUGAUCGAAAGAUGAAAAGCACUUUGGAAAGAGAGUUAAAAAGUACGUGAAAUUGUUGAAAGGGAAGCGCUUGCGACCAGACUUGCCCGCGGAUGCUCAACCGGUCCUUCGGCCGGUGCACUCUUCCGCGGUCAGGCCAGCAUCAGUUCGAGCGGUUGGAUAAAGGCCUUGGGAAUGUGGCUCUCUUCGGGGAGUGUUAUAGCCCUUGGUGUAAUACAGCCUGCUUGGACUGAGGCCCGCGCUUCGGCUAGGAUGCUGGCGUAAUGGUCGUAAGCGGCCCGUCUUGAAACACGGACCAAGGAGUCUAACAUCUAUGCGAGUGUUUGGGUGUCAAACCCGUACGCGAAAUGAAAGUAAACGGAGGUGGGAAUCUUCGGAUGCACCAUCGACCGAUCCUGAUGUCUUCGGAUGGAUUUGAGUAAGAGCAUAGCUGUUGGGACCCGAAAGAUGGUGAACUAUGCCUGAAUAGGGUGAAGCCAGAGGAAACUCUGGUGGAGGCUCGCAGCGGUUCUGACGUGCAAAUCGAUCGUCAAAUUUGGGUAUAGGGGCGAAAG
Molecule: ribosomal RNA, 795 nt
Filed under: Neohelicomyces aquaticus
Lineage: Eukaryota; Fungi; Ascomycota; Dothideomycetes; Tubeufiales; Tubeufiaceae
Description: partial large subunit ribosomal RNA
Rfam family: Eukaryotic large subunit ribosomal RNA
Source: RNAcentral